UGUCGUUUGUUAUUUGCUUGUUUUUCGUGUGAGUAUAUGCUUGAAACAUUGAGGACAAUGUUUGAUUUAAGUGUGGGGGGGGUAACCAUUGUUUUGCAUGAAAUUCGUAGAAAUUUAUCACCCAUUACUUCUAGUGUUGUUCCUUGUUGUUUUAAGUAUUUUUAAGCUGUUUUGGAGUGUUUUAGUGUGUUUUGACAUAAAAAUCCGAAAAUUCAUAAAAAUUUGAAAAAUUGUUUUUGAAAAUCCCAAAAAGAGUUGUUUUUGUGUGCUUAUUUGUGUCUUAGGGUAUCUUCCAACACAAUGAUGAGGAUUCGGUUUGUAAUUACAUGACUGUUAAAGAGAGUUAUAAACAUGGAUGAAAGUUUGAUUUACUCUUUAUUUAUGCGUGGUUGUGGUUAUAACUUAUGAAAUCACAUGUAAUUAUAAAAGAAAAAAAUUAGUUUUUGUAACAUGCUUGAAGGAAAGAACUCAAACUAACGCUACAACCUUGUGAGACUUGAGCCUAAACGUUAUUUGGAGAGUUGAUAAUCUGUGCAUUAUUGUUUUCUA
This 549-nucleotide long non-coding RNA is filed under the name Malus domestica (apple). RNAcentral's name for it is "long non-coding RNA (MDOM_LNC014111)". The record is from RNAcentral. Lineage: Eukaryota; Viridiplantae; Streptophyta; Magnoliopsida; Rosales; Rosaceae.